RNAcentral lists this ribosomal RNA (511 nucleotides) under uncultured bacterium. RNAcentral's name for it is "partial 16S ribosomal RNA". It matches the Rfam family "Bacterial small subunit ribosomal RNA", at positions 28 to 507 of the family's 1533-position model. The record is from RNAcentral.
GACAAACGCUGGCGGCAUGCCUAACACAUGCAAGUCGAACGGACAGAACAGGGAAGCUUUUCGGAGUGGAACUGGAAAGUUAGUGGCGGAUGGGUGAGUAACGCGUGGACAACCUACCUUGUAAAGGGGAAUAACCUCGAGAAAUCGAAGCUAAUACCCCAUAAUAACCUUGCUUCGCAUGAAGUAAGGAGGAAAGGCGGCCUUAGCGCUGUCGAUACAAGAUGGGUCGGCGUCUGAUUAGCUAGUUGGUGAGGGAAAGGCUCACCAAGGCGACGAUCAGUAGCCGGCCUGAGAGGGGGAACGGCCACAUUGGGACUGAGACACGGCCCAAACUCCUACGGGAGGCAGCAGUGGGGAAUCUUCCGCAAUGGGCGAAAGCCUGACGGAGCAAUGCCGCGUGAGUGAAGAAGGCCUUCGGGUUGUAAAACUCUGUCCUUAUCGAAGAGAGAGUGUUGUAGUAACUGACAAUACUAGGACGGUAGAUGAGGAGGAAGCCCCGGCUAACUAUGUG